Dermochelys coriacea (leatherback sea turtle) is the source of this 270-nucleotide long non-coding RNA. RefSeq lists it as uncharacterized. The record is from RefSeq and is a predicted model, not a curated record. NCBI's taxonomy places the organism in Eukaryota, Metazoa, Chordata, Testudines, Dermochelyidae. The transcript is spliced from 3 exons.
UGUCAGGCAUUUCACAGGGCCGUCCUUAGGAUUUAUGGGGCCCUACGCAGUAUUACUAAACUGGUGCCCCUAUGCCGGAUGGCAGCCCGGGCUCACAGCCCGGGGGGGAGGGACAAGGCAGCAAAUGAUACCGAGACACCUGGCCCACCUCAUGGCGGCAGAGUCACAGUUACCUACAGAGACCCCAGUACCCUUUGUCUCACGCAGAAUGCAUGGCGCUGGCGCAUUCAGCUCUAUGAAUAUGGCCCCUGCCUAAGGAGAUUGCAGUGC